RNAcentral lists this ribosomal RNA (492 nucleotides) under uncultured bacterium. RNAcentral's name for it is "partial 16S ribosomal RNA". It matches the Rfam family "Bacterial small subunit ribosomal RNA", at positions 29 to 507 of the family's 1533-position model. The record is from RNAcentral.
AGUGAACGCUGGCGGUAGGCCUAACACAUGCAAGUCGAACGGCAGCACAGUAAGAGCUUGCUCUUACGGGUGGCGAGUGGCGGACGGGUGAGGAAUACAUCGGAAUCUACUUUUUCGUGGGGGAUCACGUAGGGAAACUUACUCUAAUACCGCAUACGACCUACGGGUGAAAGCAGGGGAUCUUCUGACCUUGCGCGAUUGAAUGAGCCGAUGUCGGAUUAGCUAGUUGGCGGGGUAAAGGCCCACCAAGGCGACGAUCCGUAGCUGGUCUGAGAGGAUGAUCAGCCACACUGGAACUGAGACACGGUCCAGACUCCUACGGGAGGCAGCAGUGGGGAAUAUUGGACAAUGGGCGCAAGCCUGAUCCAGCCAUACCGCGUGGGUGAAGAAGGCCUUCGGGUUGUAAAGCCCUUUUGUUGGGAAAGAAAAGCAGCAGGUUAAUACCCCGCUGUUCUGACGGUACCCAAAGAAUAAGCACCGGCUAACUUCGUG